Molecule: non-coding RNA, 1084 nt
Organism: Myodes glareolus (Bank vole)
Lineage: Eukaryota; Metazoa; Chordata; Mammalia; Rodentia; Cricetidae
Source: RefSeq, a predicted model, not a curated record
CUGAUUUCAAGGACACGCGGCUUUUGCGUGAGGUCUACUUCCCCCACGGAGGCCAGGCGGAGGCAGCGCCGUCACGGGUUUCUAUGAAUGGAAACGCCAUGGGAGCAGGUCUUCAGACUUUCUCCAGGCUGGCCACCUCACCACUGUCUACAGUGGCUCACCAGCUGACACUCACCAGCAAGCAGCACAGCAGACUUUUGCCAAUCUCACUCCCAAGUCAAACCAGUUUUUCUUCAGACAAGCACCUUCCCAGCACAGGACCGGAAAGCUGUUUGCAGUUCCGGUUUCUUUAGCUGUGCAGAGGAGACAUGAUCUGGGAACACAGGCUGUCCGCAGAAUUGGAGAUCUCGACCAGCUAUACUUCAGACUGGGCUACUAUCCAGAAUUUACAAAGAACUUCAGAAAUUAAAUACAGAGGGCAACAGUGAUCUGCUGCCAAUCAAAUGGUCAGAUGCAACGCCAGUGAAGCACAUAAACAAAAUUGGUGCCGCAGACUCGAGAGAUUCACCCGCCAAGGGCCAGGGUCCCAGCUUCACCUUUCGUCUGGGACUCUGAGCACCAACUUCCGGGACUGAAUCGGGACCGAGGACUUCUCAACACCGACCCACGUGCUCCAACUGCCUGGACACAUUCCUACAAACAACACCAGCUUCUAAUUGUACAAGGGACACCAGACAUUUCCAUGCCACAGACACCUGUCAGGAGCAGAGACCAACUACAACUAUGCCAGAAUGUGAACAGCACCCAGCCUUUUCUCGGAUGUCCCCCACCCCCCAAAGACAACGCCCACAAAUCAGCCAGAAGCAGUCUUGAGAAUUCGCCGCCCCAAUUCCUUCAAACUGUAAUGUCUAACCUUCUACUUUUUAUUAUAAAAAGGAUCCGGGAAUGUUAUUCCUUUGCGGUGCCUUUAAGGACUAACCACACCCACUCCCAGCCACUUCUGACCUCCCUCACUGCCAUCUUAACUCUCUCUCUUCUGUUUUCCAUCUCUUGGCAUGUGCACAUGUGUUUUCCUCUCUCUGUUCUCUUUUCUAUUUCUGCCUUUCUUUCUCUCCUUUUUCUCUAAGUAAUAAAUGUUUAUCCU